CCUACGGGUGGCUGCAGUGGGGAAUAUUGGACAAUGGGGGCAACCCUGAUCCAGCCAUGCCGCGUGUGUGAAGAAGGCCCUCGGGUUGUAAAGCACUUUCAGUGAGGAAGAACGCCUGGUGGUUAAUACCCAUCAGGAAAGACAUCACUCACAGAAGAAGCACCGGCUAACUCCGUGCCAGCAGCCGCGGUAAUACGGAGGGUGCUAGCGUUAAUCGGAAUUACUGGGCGUAAAGCGCGCGUAGGUGGCUUGAUAAGCCGGUUGUGAAAGCCCCGGGCUCAACCUGGGAACGGCAUCCGGAACUGUCAAGCUAGAGUGCAGGAGAGGAAGGUAGAAUUCCCGGUGUAGCGGUGAAAUGCGUAGAGAUCGGGAGGAAUACCAGUGGCGAAGGCGGCCUUCUGGACUGACACUGACACUGAGGUGCGAAAGCGUGGGUAGCAAACAGGAUUAGAUACCCGAGUAGUC
This 465-nucleotide ribosomal RNA is filed under the name Vreelandella stevensii. Its description in RNAcentral is "partial 16S ribosomal RNA". It matches the Rfam family "Bacterial small subunit ribosomal RNA", at positions 338 to 795 of the family's 1533-position model. The record is from RNAcentral. Lineage: Bacteria; Pseudomonadati; Pseudomonadota; Gammaproteobacteria; Oceanospirillales; Halomonadaceae.